UUCCGGUUGAUCCUGCCGGACCCGACUGCUAUCAGAGUGGGACUAAGCCAUGCGAGUCAACAUAGCAAUAUGUGGCAUACGGCUCAGUAACACGUAGUCAACAUGCCCAGGGGACGUGGAUAACCUCGGGAAACUGAGGAUAAACCGCGAUAAGUCACUACUUCUGGAAUGGGUAAUGACUCAAACCUAUAUGGCCCCUGGAUUGGACUGCGGCCGAUCAGGCUGUUGGUGAGGUAAUGGCCCACCAAACCUAUUACCGGUACGGGCUCUGAGAGGAGGAGCCCGGAGAUGGGCACUGAGACAAGGGCCCAGGCCCUAUGGGGCGCAGCAGGCGCGAAACCUCUGCAAUAGGCGAAAGCUUGACAGGGUUACUCUGAGUGAUUUCCGCUAAGGGAAUCUUUUGGCACCUCUAAAAAUGGUGCAGAAUAAGGGGUGGGCAAGUCUGGUGUCAGCCGCCGCGGUAAUACCAGCACCCCGAGUGGUCGGGACGAUUAUUGGGCCUAAAGCAUCCGUAGCCGGUUCUGCAAGUCCCCCGUUAAAUCCAGCUGCUCAACAGAUGGGCCGCGGAGGAUACUACAGAGCUAGGAGGCAGGAGAGGCAAGCGGUACUCAGUGGGUAGGGGUAAAAUCCGUUGAUCCAUUGAAGACCACCAGUGGCGAAGGCGGCUUGCCAGAAUGCGCUCGACGGUGAGGGAUGAAAGCUGGGGGAGCAAACCGGAUUAGAUACCCGGGUAGUCCCAG
Molecule: ribosomal RNA, 740 nt
Filed under: uncultured archaeon
Lineage: Archaea
Description: bacterial SSU rRNA
Rfam family: Archaeal small subunit ribosomal RNA
Source: RNAcentral